Molecule: ribosomal RNA, 923 nt
Filed under: uncultured bacterium
Lineage: Bacteria
Description: bacterial SSU rRNA
Rfam family: Bacterial small subunit ribosomal RNA
Source: RNAcentral
AGAGUUUGAUCCUGGCUCAGAUUGAACGCUGGCGGCAUGCCUUACACAUGCAAGUCGAACGGCAGCACGGGAGCAAUCCUGGUGGCGAGUGGCGAACGGGUGAGUAAUAUAUCGGAACGUGCCCAGUCGUGGGGGAUAACGCAGCGAAAGCUGUGCUAAUACCGCAUACGAUCUCUGGAUGAAAGCGGGGGACUCAGCAAUGGGCCUCGCGCGAUUGGAGCGGCCGAUAUCAGAUUAGCUAGUUGGUGGGGUAAAAGCCCACCAAGGCGACGAUCUGUAGCUGGUCUGAGAGGACGACCAGCCACACUGGAACUGAGACACGGUCCAGACUCCUACGGGAGGCAGCAGUGGGGAAUUUUGGACAAUGGGCGAAAGCCUGAUCCAGCAAUGCCGCGUGCAGGAUGAAGGCCUUCGGGUUGUAAACUGCUUUUGUACGGAACGAAACGGUUCUCCUUAAUACGGGGGGCUAAUGACGGUACCGUAAGAAUAAGCACCGGCUAACUACGUGCCAGCAGCCGCGGUAAUACGUAGGGUGCGAGCGUUAAUCGGAAUUACUGGGCGUAAAGCGUGCGCAGGCGGUUAUAUAAGACAGAUGUGAAAUCCCCGGGCUCAACCUGGGACCUGCAUUUGUGACUGUAUAGCUAGAGUACGGUAGAGGGGGAUGGAAUUCCGCGUGUAGCAGUGAAAUGCGUAGAUAUGCGGAGGAACACCGAUGGCGAAAGCAAUCCCCUGGACCUGUACUGACGCUCAUGCACGAAAGCGUGGGGAGCAAACAGGAUUAGAUACCCUGGUAGUCCACGCCCUAAACGAUGUCAACUGGGUUGUUGGGUCUUCACUGACUCAGUAACGAAGCUAACGCGUGAAGUUGACCGCCUGGGGAGUACGGCCGCAAGGUUGAAACUCAAGGAAUUGACGGGGACCCG